CUUACUCUUGCUAUUCAUCAAAAUACAGGGUGCUGUUGCCUUUUAAAGACCUCAAAGCUGAGGUCAACACAUCCAGGAUGUGCCACUGUCACCUCAGAGAGAAGUUCACCAGAUGCUGCUGGCCGCCCAUUCAGCCGGUAGCUCCAGCCAACACAUCCUGGAAGGCAUCCUUUCAUCUCCACAUCAGGACAACGCAGAUAAGAAGGAGCUAGACCCAGAGGAAUGAGCUGCAUGUCACACUUCAUUUCACACAGUCCCCAAGCAGGCAGCCCACCUCCUGGCACAGCUGGAGACAGGGCUGGAUCGACACAGGCCUCAGGUCCUGUCAGGUGCUGAGGGAAUCCAUAUUGGAGGCGUUCUGCACUGCAGGAUUCCAUCCUCUGUGUGACCACACAGGAGGUCGUGGGCCUUGCUGGGUCUGACCUUGUACCCUCACGGCUUCUAUGGCAUCUCUGCCUCCUUUCCUUGUGGCACAGCACAGUGCUUUUGUAUUUCUGCGGAACACGAGUGGGCUUUGGACUGGGCAGGUACACACAAUCAAUUUUACUUCUACUAUCCUCUUAGUAACACUGAGAGCCCUUGGUACAGCAUGCACUGUGCACGCCCUUGUGAGCAGCGGGUCCUGAGCCAGAGACUUGGUCUGAAUCAUCUGCGGGGAGUCACUGAGAGUGCCUUCAGCUGUGCAGAGGAAUAAGCCACGCUACCGAGCCUGGCUGUCUCAGCCUCCAUGAUCUCAGCCGCCCAGCGCUUUGCUGGCUUUGCCUGUGCUAAGAGUUGGCCAACAGCACACCUUGGCUGGGAUUUCCAGGCAGAGCCGCCUCUGAAAGCGGAGCAGGGUGGAGAGCCUGGCUCCAUCCAUCCUUGCCAUCAGUCCAACAAGAGUCGCUCCUGUGGCAGAACAAACAGAAAUAUUGUUUCUCCAAUUUAGGCUAUGCCAGCUCUUAUUUUUCAUGUUCUAUCUGUGCUAUAACUUAGUUGAUGCAGCAGGUGCUUUUUAAACAAAGGGAGAUAUAUUGCUUUCCUGUUUAUUUCGUGUUUGAUAACUUCUAGGUUGAUACAUUCUGCCUAUGCCAUCCUUAAUAGAAACAGGAUUCAAGAGGGCUGUUGUAAUAUCAUAGGAGCCAGUGUUAAAGAAGGGCUGGUACUUUGGGAAGCCUUAACCCUCUGCUCACCAGGCAAGGCUGAUUCUUACAUAUGUGGUCACUCAAGAGUUCCCAGUUCCCACUUUAAACCAAAGCAAACGGCAGGAAAUUAAGAU
Molecule: long non-coding RNA, 1258 nt
Organism: Phasianus colchicus (ring-necked pheasant)
Lineage: Eukaryota; Metazoa; Chordata; Aves; Galliformes; Phasianidae
Source: RefSeq, a predicted model, not a curated record